Molecule: long non-coding RNA, 676 nt
Filed under: Hordeum vulgare
Lineage: Eukaryota; Viridiplantae; Streptophyta; Magnoliopsida; Poales; Poaceae
Description: long non-coding RNA (HVUL_LNC014307)
Source: RNAcentral
GGGUCUUGGAGUUCAUCGCCAUUGGGGCUCUGGCAACGGUCGCCGUGGGCGUCGUGGUCACCACGACCACCAUGGAUCUGCAGCAGCAGGACCAAGCCACCCACCCACGGCCGUCCACCAUGCCUACCAGGCACCUCCAAUGCCGGACUUCGUGGCCCCGCCGGCCUUUGUCGCUCCAUACAUGGAUUGGCAACUGGAAUACACAGGGGGAUCUUCUGUCCUAUGCACAGAUACGGGCCAUGCCCUUCAAACCCGGCCAAUCCAUCACUGGAAUCAGAGAUCGACGGAGGGGACACUUACCUGGAUCUCCCAACACCGACGCCUGCCGACGAAGAGCCCCUUGCGCCUCCAGGCUAUGGCCCUGUUCCGGCCAUGGCCGAGUGGGAGGUGAUCCUGACGGAGACGGCCGAAGCCAGCGCUCCGACGAAAGCGGCCGAAGCCAGCGCACCGACGGAGGCGACCGGAUCCGGCGCCACCAUCCCCGCAUCUCCGCCGCCUUCGCCCCAGACCCGCCCUCGGACGCCACCAGCGGCGGCUCGCCGGAUCCUUCGCCGAUUUGCUGCAGCGUUGGAGCGGCACCGCCCCGGCCUCCGCUCCGGAUCCUGGGCCCACGCUGGCCUCCACCCUUAUCAACGUUAUCUUUGCCUUAUCAACACCCUUAUCAACCUUAUCUUUG